UUCGGGGUUCGUCUAGUGGUAGGACAACAGUUUCUGGAACUGUUUACUGGGGUUCGAAUCCCUGACCCCGAGU
RNAcentral lists this transfer RNA (73 nucleotides) under uncultured bacterium. RNAcentral's name for it is "tRNA-Gln". It matches the Rfam family "tRNA". From Rfam's summary of the family: Transfer RNA (tRNA) molecules are approximately 80 nucleotides in length. Their secondary structure includes four short double-helical elements and three loops (D, anti-codon, and T loops). The record is from RNAcentral.